AUGCCCGGAAGGCGCCGGAAAGGCCCGAGGAGGAUCGGCGUAGGAGGAGCCCGCUGACGGAAGUCGUCGAGAAUAGCCGGAGAUCGCCGAGUCAGCCGGAGCCUCGGUUCCCGCUCUCGGCCACGCCUCCUCGCGCACGCCACGCCUCGCGGGCGCUACGCUCAGGCGGCCUCGGGUCAGAUGAGGACAUAAGGAGAAGACCACCAUUUACAUGCUAGGAAAAGAACUCUUAUCAAACAUUUUCUAACACCCUGAUCAUGGACUUCUAUUGCCAAGAACUGUGAGAAAAUGUUUUUCUGUUAUGUAAACCAAAGUCAGCCAUAUUUGUUAUAGUAUUCUGAACAGAUGAAUACAAUUGUACAUGCUAUUUAUGUCUCAUUAUCCUAAGACCAGGUAUUAUGUUUCAUUAUAUUGU
Long non-coding RNA from Erinaceus europaeus (western European hedgehog), 415 nucleotides. RefSeq lists it as uncharacterized. The record is from RefSeq and is a predicted model, not a curated record. The transcript has 3 exons. NCBI's taxonomy places the organism in Eukaryota, Metazoa, Chordata, Mammalia, Eulipotyphla, Erinaceidae.